Molecule: small nuclear RNA, 124 nt
Organism: Benincasa hispida (wax gourd)
Lineage: Eukaryota; Viridiplantae; Streptophyta; Magnoliopsida; Cucurbitales; Cucurbitaceae
Product: U4 spliceosomal RNA
Source: RefSeq, a predicted model, not a curated record
AUCUUUGCGCUUGAGGCAAUGACGCAGCUAGUGAGGUACUAACUGAGGCACGUCUAUUGCUGAUUGAAAACAAUCUUCAUAUGUUUUUUAAUCAAUUAAAUAACUAUAUUAAAUUAUAUUUAAU